UUAUGUAUUAUAAUGGAGAAUGAAGAAGUUUCUUCUAGAUUUUCUUAUUUUACACUUUUGUAGUAGCAUAGUAUACACCAUAGCCAUGGAUACAUGGCAUUUUUAUACUUGUAUUUGUAUAUGUCUAUCUCGGAUGUUCUGGAACUUGACAGUAUUUCAAAGUAAUGACCCCUCCCCUCACAAACUAAUUGAACAGCUUUCUCAUGCAGCUCCCCUGUCCGUGCUUCACUCAACCACUGUCCUUUUUUCUACUCCAGGCUGAAAAGUAAUCCCAUUAUCUCUUAAAAGGUCAACCUAAAGAAGAUUUGAAGUCUGUCUGGAAACCUGAGGGUCCCACUUCUUUACGGAGGCAGGGAGCAUGGAAACCUGGAAAUCUGAAGAACAAGUUGAUGCACCUAUAUGAGUGAAACCCUGUGAUACAAUGUAACAUCCCAAAUUCCAACCAAGUGAAAGCAGCAUUCAACAGUGUGCAACCUUCUAUCUUCCGAGUUAAAUCAGGCCACAGUAGGACUUCCCCUUUUUACAAAUGUCACAGAAUGAAGCUCUAAAGAGUGAUUUCCAGCUUCCAUUCAAGUGAAAAGUUCAGCUCCCAACAGGACUAGGCAACAUCCACAAAGCAAACCAAGCAAGACCCACGGGACCAAGGCAUUAUUGGGCCUCUCAGGAUGCAGGACACCGCUCCUCCUUCCCUCCAAUCAGAGAAGCUUAAAAAGUGCAGGUUACUCCACAGACCACCAGAAGGUGGUAUGGAAAGAUGUAAGUUCCAAGAAAGAAAGGGCCAUAGUUGUCGUUUAUCACCCUCGGAUUCCCAGCACCUAGAGGGAACCUAGCACAAAGUAAGUGCUCAGGAAAUAUUUGUGGGUCUGGUUGGCAAUGGGAGGGGAGGAAGAGAGACCCAGAACAUUCUCCUGAGGCUGCUUGAGCAGAGAAAGGAUGAAGGCUUCGUGUUGCCCACAGCACUGGGGACCACAAACAGCACUGUGUGUCCGCUUGCUUUAAGGCUCGCUGCUAGGCACCAUGGGCAUCAGAGAAAUAAGAUGACUAAUGUAACCAGCUACUGCUGUUCUGUACCUCCCCGGAGCACAGCCAGCCAGGCAACCCCUUAGAGGGCAGAUACUCCCCUCACCUUCAUCCCCCCAUCUCAGAAGCCAGUUUUAGGACCAACCCACUCUAGGAGAGGCCUUGAAGUAAGACCCCAAGGCUCCCCAACAUUCUCCAGCGCCAGCAAACUGACUCUGGCUCGCAGUGAGGCAGCCAGGCCUGCCCUUGUCUGAACCUGCGUCCUUGAGACUCAGCCAAACCUCUCCGGGCUUGGCGGAGGGAUGUUGAGGUGACAUUCUUCUCCUGCCACUCAGCAUCUUUUAAACAGUCCUCCUCCACCUUGGGAGAGUACGCAUGAACUCACAGGAGACUGGGGCCAUGGGAGCUGAAAAUUCCCUUUCUCUCUCAGAGAGGAAUUCGUCGCAAGUGAAAAAACACACCUCCCAUGAAAAAUCAGAAUCUGGGAUGUCGGCAAGUUCUUUCUGGCGAAGUUCUUUUGGUUGCCAGUGGUAGAGUCCACGUCAGGCGGAGUUCGUGAACAAGGGACUUCGCUGGGAGGAUAUCGGGGUGUCUCAGGGGGCUGGGAGGACCUGGCCCCAUGCCCUGGAAGGGGUGGGAAGGAGGAUCAGUGACUGCCCAUGUCUGCCUGCUGCCAGCUGCACUAGUUUCCUCCUCCUUGGGCUCAACCCGAGUUCACAGCCUUGGGGGUGGGGGGUGGGGGGGAGGAGCAGGAGGUUGGCACAGGCCCUUUUGGCUCUGGACCACACCGCCUGUAGUGCACCGUGAAUUAAUAUUUUUAAUAAAUCCUGUAAUUAUCCUGUGAACAGAACAUUUUUGUGGCACUAUAUUUUUGUGUUAAAAGCAUUAAUUUGUUCAAUAUAAACAUUAAAUAUACACCAUCCUUUUUGUAACCUUGUUUCU
Myotis lucifugus (little brown bat) is the source of this 1962-nucleotide long non-coding RNA. RefSeq lists it as uncharacterized. NCBI's taxonomy places the organism in Eukaryota, Metazoa, Chordata, Mammalia, Chiroptera, Vespertilionidae. The transcript has 4 exons. The record is from RefSeq and is a predicted model, not a curated record.